This 427-nucleotide ribosomal RNA is filed under the name Vemana sp. BOLD:ADF5858. RNAcentral describes it as "partial 16S ribosomal RNA". The record is from RNAcentral. Lineage: Eukaryota; Metazoa; Arthropoda; Malacostraca; Amphipoda; Vemanidae.
UAGCAUAAUCAUUUGUUCUGUAAUUAAGAUCUGGAAUGAACGGUUUAACAGAUAGAAUUUUCUUAUUUUGAAUUAAUUAAUUUGAAUUUUAAGUAAAAAUGCUUAAGUGUUUUCAGGGGACGAUAAGACCCUAAAAGCUUUAUUUAGGUUGAUUUUUAUUUUGUUAUGUAAAUUUGUAUAGGUUGGUUAAGAUUUUUAGCUGGGGUAGUUGUUUUGUUUAAAUCAGAUUUUGGGACUACAGUGUUUGGUUGAUAGGUCCUUUAGAUUAGGACAGGAUGUUAGAGUUACUUUAGGGAUAACAGCAUAAUAACUUCGGGAAGAUCUUAUUUAUGGAGUUGAUUGUGACCUCGAUGUUGAAUUAGAAGUUUUUUAUGGGGUAGCCGACAUAAAAAAGGGUUUGUUCAACCUUUAAAUUUUUACAUGAUUU